AUGGCAGUUAAGGACAAGGAGAAAGUAGAAAGAAAUCGUCUCAGACUGAAAGUUUCAAUUGCAACUGUUAAGUGGCUCGCACUUCAAUCUUGUGCUUUUAGAGGACAUGACGGAAGACCCGAGUCAAAGAAUAAAGGCAACUUUCUUGAAAUGGUGGAGCUUCUUGCUGAAUUCAAUCCUGAUAUUGCAAAAUGUGUGUUGGCGAAUGCUCCAUAUGGUUCUAAAUACACAUCACCAGAAAUUCAGAAGGAGAUCUUGAGUAUAUUUGCAUGUAAAAUCAGGAAUCAUAUCUGUGAGGAAAUUGGGGAUUCUAAGUUCUCUAUAUUAGUGGAUGAAACAUGUGAUGUAGCAAAGAGAGAGCAAAUGGCUCUGGUUCUUAGAUUUGCUGAUAAAGGUGGUAUUUUGCAAGAGAGGUUCUUUGACUUG
RNAcentral lists this ribosomal RNA (426 nucleotides) under Triticum aestivum (bread wheat). RNAcentral describes it as "partial small subunit ribosomal RNA". Lineage: Eukaryota; Viridiplantae; Streptophyta; Magnoliopsida; Poales; Poaceae. The record is from RNAcentral.